GCAUCAAUGGGGUAGUGGUAACCUGGGUCGUUGCCAUGAGCCAACGUCGCUCGACCCGCCGGGGGUUCAAUUCCCUCUCAAUGUA
Molecule: non-coding RNA, 85 nt
Organism: Lentinula lateritia
Lineage: Eukaryota; Fungi; Basidiomycota; Agaricomycetes; Agaricales; Omphalotaceae
Source: the annotation of a GenBank genome assembly